Molecule: long non-coding RNA, 382 nt
Organism: Hipposideros armiger (great roundleaf bat)
Lineage: Eukaryota; Metazoa; Chordata; Mammalia; Chiroptera; Hipposideridae
Exons: 4
Source: RefSeq, a predicted model, not a curated record
CAGGAAGAGAGCACGGAUGUUGAGCUCUAGUCUGUGGCCAUGACUCCAGGCUCACCCUGGGUGCAGGACACCAUCUCCCACCCAGCAGGGCCCUGGAAACCAGCAAGUGCCCAGCAAGGUCUUGAGUGAUGGACAGUAAGGGACAAAAAGAACUGAAAAGGCAAGGGGAACUCUUCUUGGGCCUCUGCCCACGAGUCCUUCCUUACCCGUCAACAAGCCAAAGGAAGAGUGUGUUGGUAGAAUGUGUGUGUAUCAAGAAGAAAAGCUCUCCCUCUCAGUGGCCCGAGAAAGCAUUAAAUAGAAGAUUAAAAAGCUCAUGGUGGGCCGGCCGAGUGAUGCGUUGGUUAAGAGCUGGCUUGGGACGCCAGAGGGCCCCGGUUCG